Molecule: ribosomal RNA, 281 nt
Filed under: Vibrio parahaemolyticus
Lineage: Bacteria; Pseudomonadati; Pseudomonadota; Gammaproteobacteria; Vibrionales; Vibrionaceae
Description: partial 23S ribosomal RNA
Rfam family: Bacterial large subunit ribosomal RNA
Source: RNAcentral
GGGGCUGCUCCUAGUACGAGAGGACCGGAGUGGACGAACCUCUGGUGUUCGGGUUGUGUCGCCAGACGCAUUGCCCGGUAGCUAAGUUCGGAAUCGAUAACCGCUGAAAGCAUCUAAGCGGGAAGCGAGCCCUGAGAUGAGUCUUCCCUGAUACUUUAAGUAUCCUAAAGGGUUGUCGGAGACUACGACGUUGAUAGGUCAGGUGUGUAAGUGCUGUGAGGCAUUGAGCUAACUGAUACUAAUUGCCCGUGAGGCUUAACCAUACAACACCCAAGGGGUUU